Molecule: long non-coding RNA, 1762 nt
Filed under: Equus caballus (horse)
Lineage: Eukaryota; Metazoa; Chordata; Mammalia; Perissodactyla; Equidae
Description: lncRNA (ENSECAG00000049668.1)
Source: RNAcentral
GUUGCCCAUCGUCGUCAGUUUCAGAGGGUACAUUUCUCAGUGCUGCUUUUUCCCCAGGUCUCCACGCCCUUGUGUGUUUCUUUUGCUUAACGAUUGCCACCUGAGCUAGCCUCUGUGGCCCAUCUUUGUCAGUUUCAGAGGGUAGAUUUCUCAGUCUUGCUCUUUCCCAAGUUCUGCACGCCCUUGUGUGUGGGUUUUUUUUUUUUUUUUUUUUUGCUCAAAUAUUGAACCUAAGCUAGCAUCUGUUGCCCUUCUUCGUCACUUUCAGAGGGUGGAUUUCUCAGUGUUGCUUUUUCCCCAGGUCUCCACGCCCUUGUGUGUUUCUUUUGCUUAAAGAUUGCCACCUGAGCUAGCCUCUGUUGCGCUUCUUUCUCAGUUUCAGAGGGUAGUUUUCUCAGUGUUGCUUUUUUCGCCAGCUCUCCACGCCCUGGUGUCUUUCUUUUCUGCUUAAAGGUUCCAACCUGAGCUAGCGUCUGUUGCCCAUGUUCCUCAGUUUCAGAGGGUGGAUUUCUCCGUGCUGCUUUUUACCCGGGUCUCCACGCCCUUGUGUGUUUCUUUUGCUUAACGAUUGCCACCUGAGCUAGCCUCUGUUGCGCUUCUUUCUCAGUUUCUGAGGGUGGAUUUCUCAGUGUUGCUUUUUCCCCAGGUCUCCACGCCCUUGUGUGUUUCUUUUGCUUAACGAUUGCCGCCUGAGCUAGCCUCUGUGGCCCAUUUUCGUCAGCUUCAGAGGGUGGAUUUCUCAGUGUUGCUUUUUCCCCAGGUCUCCACGUCCCUCAGUGUGUGUGUGUGUGUGAGUGUGUGUGUUUUCUUUGCAAGAUUGGCACUUGAGCUAACGUGUGUUGCCCAUCUUUGUCAGUUUCAGAGGCUAGAUUUUUCAGUAUCGCUCUUUCCCAAGGUCUCCACUCCCGUUGCUCUUUUCUUUGUUUCUUUGUUUCUUUGUUCUUUCUUUUUGGCUUAAAUAUUGUCACCUGAGCUAGGCUCUGUUGCCCUGCUUCCUCCGUUUCAGAGGGUACCUUUUUUCAGGGUUGCUUUUUCACCGGGUCUCCUCGCCAUUGUAGUUUUUUAUUUUAUUUAUUUAUUUUUUUGCUUAACGAUUGCCACCUGAGCUAGCCUGUGUUGCCCAUGUUCGUCAGUUUCAGAGGGUAGAUUUCUCAGCGUUGCUUUUUCCCCAGGUCUCUACGCCUGUGUGUGUGUGUGUGUGUGUGUGUGUGUGUGUGUUCUGCUUAAAGAUUGCCACCCGAGCUAGCCCCUGUUGCCCAUCUUCGUCAGUUUCAGAGGGUAGAUUUCUCAGUGUUGAUUUUCCCCCAGUUCUCCACGCCCUCGUGCUUUUUUUUUUUUUUUAAUUUCCUUAAAUGUCGGCACCUCAGCUAGCCUCUUUUUCCCAUCUUCGUCCGUUUCAGCGGGUAGACUCUCCGCCUGCCUUCGACAGACCCUCUGCGCUUGAAAGCUUUCCUCCUCCCGUCAUCACGGUCCUUCUCGGAUGACGUGCCUGGUUUCGGUUUGACCGUCCCCGCCCGCCCUGAUUUUCUAAGUCCUCCCGGGAGCCCCGGGGGCGCUCCGGCCGCUCCGGGAAGCGGCGGCCUCCCGGCCGCACCGGCUCAGCCCGGCCCGGGCCGACCCCUGGCCUCUCUGGGGGAACUCUCCCCGUCCCCUUCCCGGUGAGCGCCCGAGAAACCUUUUCCGGGUCCCCCUCCUGCGGCUGGGGCUGCGCCUUGGCGGCCGGAGCCCGCGGGCGGACGCCCCGGGGCCGAGCUGGGCCGGG